This 497-nucleotide ribosomal RNA is filed under the name uncultured bacterium. Its description in RNAcentral is "partial 16S ribosomal RNA". It matches the Rfam family "Bacterial small subunit ribosomal RNA", at positions 28 to 507 of the family's 1533-position model. The record is from RNAcentral.
GAUGAACGCUGGCGGCGUGCCUAAUACAUGCAAGUAGAACGCUGAAGGAAGGAGCUUGCUCUUUCCGGAUGAGUUGCGAACGGGUGAGUAGCGCGUAGGUAACCUGCCUGGUAGCGGGGGAUAACUAUUGGAAACGAUAGCUAAUACCGCAUAACAGUAGAUGUUGCAUGAUAUCUACUUAAAAGGUGCAAUUGCACCACUACCAGAUGGACCUGCGUUGUAUUAGCUAGUUGGUGAGGUAACGGCUCACCAAGGCGACGAUACAUAGCCGACCUGAGAGGGUGAUCGGCCACACUGGGACUGAGACACGGCCCAGACUCCUACGGGAAGCAGCAGUAGGGAAUCUUCGGCAAUGGACGGAAGUCUGACCGAGCAACGCCGCGGGAGUGAAGAAGGUUUUCGGAUCGUAAAGCUCUGUUGUAAGAGAAGAACGAGUGUGAGAGUGGAAAGUUCACACUGUGACGGUAUCUUACCAGAAAGGGACGGCUAACUACGUG